CGGCGUGCUUAACACAUGCAAGUCGAGGGCAGGGAGGGGCAACUCUUCCUGACCGGCGAACGGGUGCGUAACACGUGAGCGAUCUACCCUGGUAUGGGGGAUAGCCGGCCCAACGGCCGGGUAAUACCGCAUACGCUCGUCUGGCUGCCUGGUCAGAUGAGGAAAGCCUUCGGGCGUACCGGGAGGGGCUCGCGGCCUAUCAGCUGGUUGGCGGGGUAACGGCCCACCAAGGCGACGACGGGUAGCUGGUCUGAGAGGAUGGCCAGCCACAUUGGGACUGAGAGACGGCCCAGACUCCUACGGGAGGCAGCAGUGGGGAAUCUUGCGCAAUGGGCGAAAGCCUGACGCAGCGACGCCGCGUGCGGGAGGACGGCCUUCGGGUCGUAAACCGCUGUUGCCCGGGACGAAACGGUCUUUCGAGAUCAUUGACGGUACCGGGUGAGGAAGCACCGGCUAACUCCGUGCCAGCAGCCGCGGUAAUACGGAGGGCGCGAGCGUUGUCCGGAAUCACUGGGCGUAAAGGGCGCGUAGGCGGCGCGGGAAGGCGGCGGUGAAAGUCCGGGGCUCAACCCCGGAUCGGCCGUGGCGACUCCCGCGCUGGAGCACAGUAGAGGCGGGUGGAAUUCCGGGUGUAGCGGUGGAAUGCGUAGAGAUCCCGGAAGAACACCGGUGGCGAAGGCGGCCCGCUGGGCUGUGGCUGACGCUGAGGCGCGACAGCGUGGGGAGCAAACAGGAUUAGAUACCCUGGUAGUCCACGCCGUAAACGAUGGGCACUAGGUGCCUGGGGGAGCGACCCCCUGGGUGCCGGCGCUAACGCAUUAAGUGCCCCGCCUGGGGGAGUACGGCCGCAAGGCUGAAACUCAAAGGAAUUUGACGGGGGCCCGCACAAGCGGGUGGGAGCCAUGGUGGAUUUAAUUCGACGCAACGCCGAAGAACCUUACCUGGGCUUGACAUCUCGGGGAAAGACCUCAGAAACGAGGUCCCCUCUUCGGAGUCCCGAGACAGGUGCUGCAUGGCUGUCGUCAGCUCGUGUCGUGAGAUGUUGGGUUAAGUCCCGCAACGAGCGCAACCCCCGCUCCCAGUUGCUAACAGGUCAAGCUGAGGACUCUGGGAGGACUGCCGGUGCCAAACCGGAGGAAGGUGGGGACGACGUCAAGUCAUCAUGGCCCUUACGUCCAGGGCUACACACGUGCUACAAUGGGCCGAACAAAGGGUUGCGAGAGCGCGAGCUGGAGCCAAUCCCUAAAAGCGGUCCUCAGUUCGGAUUGCAGGCUGCAACUCGCCUGCAUGAAGCCGGAAUCGCUAGUAAUCGCGGAUCAGCUACGCCGCGGUGAAUACGUUCCCGGGCC
Molecule: ribosomal RNA, 1349 nt
Filed under: uncultured bacterium
Lineage: Bacteria
Description: bacterial SSU rRNA
Rfam family: Bacterial small subunit ribosomal RNA
Source: RNAcentral